UCGACUUGAUUCCAAAAGCAAUUUUUCUCACCUUGACGUCGUCUAUAACUUCUCAGAAGACAUCGGAGUGAAAAUCGAACUGUGGAGGGCGCUGUAAGGCCGAGAAGCUGCACAGCUCGAGCUGGAAAUCGCCUCCCUUCACCGGCUGAUAUUUUCCUUUUCCGGCCACCCCCAGCGAUAAACCUUAGACUAUUGGAAGCGCCUUGGGAUGUAGAUGAUGCUCCCGGAAGCUUUUGCUGAGAUUUGAAGCAUGGAGGAAGAAUCGACGGUUUGCAGUUUGAGGUUACUAUUCAUGAUUCGGGUUCAACCUUCCCCUUAAUUGUUGAGGGCGACGUACCGAGCUCUUGCUCGACGAAGGAACUCGUACGCGUGAUCGUCGGAAUAGUACUGCCCUUCGGUUUCAAAUGCCCAGUUUGCAGGCUAGGUUAAUUGAGGUCGGGCGUACAUGGAGUCGAGGCAUAGCCAACAGCAUUGCUUCCGCGUACUCAAUUCAAAUUAUGUUUUCGUUUUUACCUAGUGGGUUAGUAUCGCUCUGAUAAUCUGUGGGAUCAAUAUUGUAUUGGGGUUGAGACAACUAUAUGUGAAAUUGGAGUUGUGAUUUGGAGAGCAGGUGGCUCCAGGAGAAUAAGGAUGGAUGAUUUAGAAGUGUAAAUGUUUUCCUACAGGUUUUUGGGUAGCCUACUUUUAGGGGAAGUUCUGCCAAAUUUUUGGUAGAAUUUCUUCUAAAGUGGGCCCUGCAGGGCCACUUCGGGCUUCAGGUUGAAAUCCGGGGCGGGUCCUGUCAUAUUAUGCUUGAAAUUGGUUUGUGGUUACGAUGGAUAUCAAUGAAGAUUUAGGUACAAAACAUCAUCUGAGUAUACACUAUGAACUGUGGUAGUUUUGAUUAUUUUGGGUGUCCAGAGUAAUUUCAGAGAAGUUAUGAUUGAUUGAUUCUAAUUUGGAUUGAGGAUUUGAUACAAGGAAUUAAGGUAUGUUGCAAUCCCAUAAGCAGAAGGAUAAAGAUUUCAGAAUGCGAGUCGCAUUGUUAUUAGCUUUGAGCAACAUUGGAAUUGUAACUUAUAUUCUCGUAGGGUCUCCCAGGGAACAUUCUCUGCUAAAAUGUUGAAUAGAAUUAUAAUUGAAGUUGGUGAACUGUUUGACUUUGGUUAAAUUAAAUCUUGAAUGUUAUCGCUUUGUGGGCUAAUAAAGCUGUUUGAUUUUGGUGAUCGAGGAUAA
RNAcentral lists this long non-coding RNA (1215 nucleotides) under Rosa chinensis. Its description in RNAcentral is "sRNA RchiOBHm_Chr4g0403931". The record is from RNAcentral. Lineage: Eukaryota; Viridiplantae; Streptophyta; Magnoliopsida; Rosales; Rosaceae.